GAUGAAGAACGUAGCGAAAUGCGAUAAGUAAUGUGAAUUGCAGAAUUCAGUGAAUCAUCGAGUUUUUGAACGCAUAUUGCGCCCUCUGGUAUUUCGGGGGGCAUGCCUGUUCGAGCGUCAUUAAAUAACCCUCAAGCAUAGCUUGGUGUUGGGCUUUUUUACGUCCUUGACUGGGAUGGGCCUAAAAAUUAGUGGCGAUGGCUUUUUUACUUUCAAGCGUAGUAAAUCUCGUCUUGCUAAAGAGGAAAAAGAUUUUUUUUCUGCCAAAAAUUUUAACAUUUAAAGUUGACCUCGGAUCAGGUAGGAUUACCCGCUGAACUUAAGCAUAUCAAUAAGCGGAGGA
Molecule: unclassified non-coding RNA, 343 nt
Filed under: soil metagenome
Description: partial contains 5.8S ribosomal RNA, internal transcribed spacer 2, and large subunit ribosomal RNA
Rfam family: 5.8S ribosomal RNA (bases 1-120)
Source: RNAcentral